RNAcentral lists this long non-coding RNA (2021 nucleotides) under Homo sapiens (human). RNAcentral's name for it is "non-protein coding lnc-APH1A-1:4". Lineage: Eukaryota; Metazoa; Chordata; Mammalia; Primates; Hominidae. The record is from RNAcentral.
GUCUCGACUGGUCCAUUCCCGGCCCACCCCCAUUAACCGGCUCGAGCCACUCCCAGGACGAAGUCAAGGCCUCGGAAGGCGACUACAACUCCCAGCAGGUCGAGCAGCUCCGCCCGCGCUGAUUCUCCAUUGGCCUUCCGGGGGUGGGGAUUAGAUGGGAGGUGGCCGUGGGGCUGCGGCCGGGAUUUGUCCCCUCUUCGGCUUCCGUAGAGGAAGUGGCGCGGACCUUCAUUUGGGGUUUCGGUUCCCCCCCUUCCCCUUCCCCGGGGUCUGGGGGUGACAUUGCACCGCGCCCCUCGUGGGGUCGCGUUGCCACCCCACGCGGACUCCCCAGCUGGCGCGCCCCUCCCAUUUGCCUGUCCUGGUCAGGCCCCCACCCCCCUUCCCACCUGACCAGCCAUGGGGGCUGCGGUGUUUUUCGGCUGCACUUUCGUCGCGUUCGGCCCGGCCUUCGCGCUUUUCUUGAUCACUGUGGCUGGGGACCCGCUUCGCGUUAUCAUCCUGGUCGCAGGUUUCUGGUCUCUCCUUCGGUAUCAUCAGUGGUGUCUUCUCUGUUAUCAAUAUUUUGGCUGAUGCACUUGGGCCAGGUGUGGUUGGGAUCCAUGGAGACUCACCCUAUUACUUCCUGACUUCAGCCUUUCUGACAGCAGCCAUUAUCCUGCUCCAUACCUUUUGGGGAGUUGUGUUCUUUGAUGCCUGUGAGAGGAGACGGUACUGGGCUUUGGGCCUGGUGGUUGGGAGUCACCUACUGACAUCGGGACUGACAUUCCUGAACCCCUGGUAUGAGGCCAGCCUGCUGCCCAUCUAUGCAGUCACUGUUUCCAUGGGGCUCUGGGCCUUCAUCACAGCUGGAGGGUCCCUCCGAAGUAUUCAGCGCAGCCUCUUGUGUAAGGACUGACUACCUGGACUGAUCGCCUGACAGAUCCCACCUGCCUGUCCACUGCCCAUGACUGAGCCCAGCCCCAGCCCGGGUCCAUUGCCCACAUUCUCUGUCUCCUUCUCGUCGGUCUACCCCACUACCUCCAGGGUUUUGCUUUGUCCUUUUGUGACCGUUAGUCUCUAAGCUUUACCAGGAGCAGCCUGGGUUCAGCCAGUCAGUGACUGGUGGGUUUGAAUCUGCACUUAUCCCCACCACCUGGGGACCCCCUUGUUGUGUCCAGGACUCCCCCUGUGUCAGUGCUCUGCUCUCACCCUGCCCAAGACUCACCUCCCUUCCCCUCUGCAGGCCGACGGCAGGAGGACAGUCGGGUGAUGGUGUAUUCUGCCCUGCGCAUCCCACCCGAGGACUGAGGGAACCUAGGGGGGACCCCUGGGCCUGGGGUGCCCUCCUGAUGUCCUCGCCCUGUAUUUCUCCAUCUCCAGUUCUGGACAGUGCAGGUUGCCAAGAAAAGGGACCUAGUUUAGCCAUUGCCCUGGAGAUGAAAUUAAUGGAGGCUCAAGGAUAGAUGAGCUCUGAGUUUCUCAGUACUCCCUCAAGACUGGACAUCUUGGUCUUUUUCUCAGGCCUGAGGGGGAACCAUUUUUGGUGUGAUAAAUACCCUAAACUGCCUUUUUUUCUUUUUUGAGGUGGGGGGAGGGAGGAGGUAUAUUGGAACUCUUCUAACCUCCUUGGGCUAUAUUUUCUCUCCUCGAGUUGCUCCUCAUGGCUGGGCUCAUUUCGGUCCCUUUCUCCUUGGUCCCAGACCUUGGGGGAAAGGAAGGAAGUGCAUGUUUGGGAACUGGCAUUACUGGAACUAAUGGUUUUAACCUCCUUAACCACCAGCAUCCCUCCUCUCCCCAAGGUGAAGUGGAGGGUGCUGUGGUGAGCUGGCCACUCCAGAGCUGCAGUGCCACUGGAGGAGUCAGACUACCAUGACAUCGUAGGGAAGGAGGGGAGAUUUUUUUGUAGUUUUUAAUUGGGGUGUGGGAGGGGCGGGGAGGUUUUCUAUAAACUGUAUCAUUUUCUGCUGAGGGUGGAGUGUCCCAUCCUUUUAAUCAAGGUGAUUGUGAUUUUGACUAAUAAAAAAGAAUUUGUAAUUGUG